CGCGUAUACGUAGGUGCAAGCGUCUCCGGAAUUAUUGGCUUAAAGCGCGCGCUGGCGGUUUUUAAGUCUGAUGAAAAGCCCCCGGCUCAACCGGGGAGGGUCAUUGGAAACUGGGGAACUUGAGUGCAGAAGAGGAGAGUGGAAUUCCACGUGUAGCGGUGAAAUGCGUAGAGAUGUGGAGGAACACCAGUGGCGAAGGCGACUCUCUGGUCUGUAACUGACGCUGAGGCGUGAAAGCGUGGGGAGCGAACAGGAUUAGAUACCCUGGUAGUCCACGCCGUAAACGAUGAGUGCUAAGUGUUAGAGGGUUUCCGCCUUUUAGUGGUGCAGCAACCGCCUCAAGCACUCCGCCAGGGGAGUACGGUCGCAAGAAUCAAGUCAAAGGAAUGGACGGGGGCCCGCACCAAGCUGUCGAGC
RNAcentral lists this ribosomal RNA (417 nucleotides) under Bacillus sp. (in: firmicutes). Its description in RNAcentral is "bacterial SSU rRNA". It matches the Rfam family "Bacterial small subunit ribosomal RNA", at positions 518 to 938 of the family's 1533-position model. Lineage: Bacteria; Bacillati; Bacillota; Bacilli; Caryophanales; Bacillaceae. The record is from RNAcentral.